Molecule: long non-coding RNA, 1530 nt
Filed under: Rhinopithecus bieti (black snub-nosed monkey)
Lineage: Eukaryota; Metazoa; Chordata; Mammalia; Primates; Cercopithecidae
Description: lncRNA (ENSRBIG00000046049.1)
Source: RNAcentral
UUUUGAGACAGAGUCUUACCCAGGCUAGAGUGCAGUGGCAUGAUGAGGGUUCACUGCAGCUUUGACCUCCUAGGGUCAAGCGAGCCUGCCACCUCAGCCUCCCACGUAGCAGGGACCACAAGUGUGCACCACCACCACACCUGGCUACUUUGUUUAUUAAAUUAUAUGUAGGGACAGAGUCUUCCUACCUUGCCCGGGCUGGUCUCAAGCUCCUAGGCUGAAGUGAUCCUCCUGCCUCAGCCUCUCAAAGUGCUGGGAUUACAGGCAUGAGCCACCAUGCCUUGCCCAUUUUUCUAAGUUGGAUUAUUUUACACUCCAGUCUGCUAUGAAUGAGAGUUCCAGUUGUUCCAUAUCCCAAGCAAUUGGCGAUUGCCUACAAAUGAUGUGGCAUGAUGAAAUUGUUCCUGGUGUCCAUGGUGUCUGAGAGGAUUGCAAAGAAUUUCCCUCCCUUUCUCUCCUUUCUGCUCCCCCUGUAUUGUCUACUCCUUAAAUUGGUCAAAUUCUACUUGAUCCAGGAACAUAAUGGGGAUGGAGAGUGCAGAUAGCACACAUGGCCUCAGUCUAUGGGAGCAUCUCAAAGGAAUUAGUCUGCAAAUUCUAGUGCAUCUAGGCAGAGCACAGGAAGGAAGAGAGGUGCAGACUCAUGUAUGGCCCUGGGGCACCUGCCAUCCCCUUGAGCCUGUACAGCCCUUACCCGCCCAGCCCCAGCUUGAGUUCUGGGCCUUCUCGCCAGCACAUCACUGGGACCUGGUCAACUUCAGUCAUUCCCUCUACAAAGGACUUCCUGGCAGGUGUGAAAGGCAGCGGUGGCCACAGAGGCGGUGGAGAGAUGGCCUUCAGCGGUUCCCAGGCUCCCUACCUGAGCCCAAGGAAGAGUGGAGAAAGGAGGCCUGUUUCCUGCUGGCUGACACCAAUGACCCCUCAGCCACCCUGUGGAGGCCCCUGAGGAAAUUCAAACGUGCAGAGAGAAUUGUACCAUCAACAACACACACCCAUCACUCUGCUCCAACAACGAUCAACUCAGGCCUAUGUUGCUUCAUCCUAUACGCCCCCCUUGCUUGCUUCCCUUCCCACCUUCAGGUAUGUGGAAGCAAAUCCAGAGAUACCAUUCCACUGCAAAUAUUUCACUGUGUAUCUCUAUAAUAUGGGAAUUUGGGGGGCUUUGAGACAGGAUCUUGUUUUGUUGCCCAGGCUGGAGUGCAGUGGUGUGAUCAUGGCUCACUGCAGCCUCCACCUCCCAGGCUCAAGGGAUGCUCCCACCUCAGCCUUCCAAGUAACUAGGGUUAAAGGUGUGCACCACCACACCUGGCUAAUUUUUUUUAUUUUUUGUAGAGAUGGGGGUCCCAUUAUGUUUCCCAGGCCGGCCUCAAACUCCUGGGCUCAAGUGAUCCUUCUGCCUCAGCCUGCCAAAGUGCUGGGAUUAUAGAUGUGAGCCACUGUGCCCAGCCAGGAACUUUUACAUAAUCCUUUUUGACAAAUUUUUUCCCCCUAGAAAUUAGAAAGUUUUAUAGAAAAAAAAAUCCAGAUUUC